Molecule: ribosomal RNA, 508 nt
Filed under: uncultured bacterium
Lineage: Bacteria
Description: partial 16S ribosomal RNA
Rfam family: Bacterial small subunit ribosomal RNA
Source: RNAcentral
GAUGAACGCUAGCUACAGGCUUAACACAUGCAAGUCGAGGGGAAACGAUAUUGGUAGCUUGCUUCCGAUAGGCGUCGACCGGCGCACGGGUGAGUAACGCGUAUCCAACCUGCCCACCACUUGGGGAUAACCUUGCGAAAGUAAGACUAAUACCCAAUGAUAUCUCUAGAAGACAUCUGAAGGAGAUUAAAGAUUUAUCGGUGAUGGAUGGGGAUGCGUCUGAUUAGCUUGUUGGCGGGGUAACGGCCCACCAAGGCGACGAUCAGUAGGGGUUCUGAGAGGAAGGUCCCCGACAUUGGAACUGAGACACGGUGCAAACUCCUACGGGCGGCAGCAGUGAGGAAUAUUAGUCAAUGGACGAGAGUCUGAACCAGCCAAGUAGCGUUCAGGAUGACGGCCCUAUGGGUUGUAAACUGCUUUUAUAAGGGAAUAAAGUGAGCCUCGUGAGGCUUUUUGCAUGUACCUUAUGAAUAAGGACCGGCUAAUUCCGUGCCAGCCGCCGCAGUAA